AUUUUCCACCUGGUUAAAGACAGGAAUGCAUUCCCCAUCGUGAUGGAUCCAGGGAUGCAUCCCUAAUUGCCGCGCCACAAUUUUUCAGAUGAUUCAUGGACGUUUAUCAUUAUUUAAUAACUCUUUGAGAUAAGCCUGCCAGACUCAAUCACCAGAUAAAAUUCAAAAUGAUAUAAAUAAAAUAAGAAAGCGACAAGGUUUCUUGACCCAUUCCUAUGCCUAAUUUAACUGUAGAUUAUGGUGAUACCAUUACAAAAGAACAUUCUGUCAAGAAGAGAAAGCAAGUACGGGGAAGACAACUUUGCCCUUUGAGACGCACGGGAGUUGCUUUCUGACUUUGAUGGUGAGAAGGCUACCAAUGCCCUAGCAUUAUUGCUUGCCCGUUUGCAACAAGUCCCUCUUUUCUUCUUCGAAUUCAAGAGAAUUACCACUUGCAAAUUGCUCUUUUCUUCUCCGAAUUCAAGAGAAUUACGGCUUGCAAAUUACAACUAUGAAGAUUGAUAAGAAAAAGAUUAGGAAAACUCCACCGACCAAUGAACCCAUCACCCAGGAAUCACCAUUACUCCCCAAAAGAAGAGAAGGCAGGCAAGAAAUCCAAAAUGAAGCUUCUUUUGUUGGUGCAGUGUUUAAUCUUUCGACGACUAUUAUUGGUGCUGGUAUCAUGGCAUUACCUGCCACCAUGAAGGUACUGGGACUUGGCCUUGGAAUUCUUAUGAUUGUGUUGAUUGCAGUCCUCACAGAGCGUUCUGUGGAGAUUUUGUUGAGGUAUAGCAAGGCUGGGAAAGUGGACUCUUAUGGCGGGGUAAUGGGGGAUGCUUUUGGGAAUGGAGGGAGAAGGCUGCUUCAGAUUUUUGUGCUGCUCAGCAAUGUUGGGAUCCUCAUAGUAUACAUGAUUAUAAUUGGUGUGUUCGUGCACCUAGUUCGUAUAUAAAUUCUGUUCAUUCUUCUGUUAAACAUGGUUUUGCAAUUGCUUUGGCAGGUUCCAGAUAAUUAUUAUGAAUAAUCGGUUGUUCCGCUUUACUGAUGUGUUUGCAUUUGCGUCCAUGUUUCUGUGUGGAUAACGCAUUAUUUAUACGAACUUGAACAUUUUUGUCAAGGUUUGAUAAUAUCAUGUGAACUAGGGUGCUCAACAUGUAAAGUUUUUGUGCUUGAAAGCAGAGCAAUUUGAAUCGCAAGCGGCUUCUCUUUACUAAUUAUUAGAUAUGCUAUUCAGAAAAAGAGGGAAAAUCAGUGAUUCUAAGGAUUCUGUCUACUUGUGCACUUACGCAUUUAUUGCUCAAGUACUUUGAUCUAAUUUAGUCUGUUAAGUAAACAAUAAACUAUUCAUGUUUGAUGAUUUUAGACUUUCAUUUCAAUCUAUAUCUCAGCUGUGAAGAACGUUCGUCAAGAUCUGAGAAUCUGGUGCUAAACUUAAUUAUUUGAUUUGACUGAUUUUCAUAGAACUAGUUGGAUGCAAGAAACCUGAUUUUAUUUCUUUAGUUUUUGAGAAGCUAAAUUGUAAGAUAUACCUUAACUUGAAGAACUGAAAUUUUACCAAGAUACGUUAUGUUGGAGGGACCAUGUCAAUGAACUUUAUUGCCUCUCUUCUUUCUAACAAUGAUUUUUUAUGAAACUCUUACCCAUUCCUGUUGUUUAGUAGUUUUCAUUGAUUCCUUUAAUUUGUUUAUAUGACAAGGUGAUGUAUUGUCUGGGACAACUUCAAGUGGAGUUUACCAUACUGGUAUAUUGGAAGAAUGGUUUGGAAUCCAUUGGUGGAAUGGCCGUACCUUUGUUCUUCUUUUUAUGACCCUCGCUGUGUUUGCUCCAUUGGCAUGCUUCAAGCGGAUAGGUUAGUAUCAAGUCAUGACUCAUUCUGAUUUUAUACCAGUCCUUAAGACCGACUUUCAAAAUGACCCCCUUCCAGAUACUUUCACACAACCACCUGGAGGUUAGUUACUUUCUGAUUAACAUGAUAUUCAAGGAAAAUAGAUUUAUUCUUUUCCCACAAUAUCAGAUAUCAUGUUCAUGUACAUUAAGUUCCUAUUGUAAUUCGGAUGAUCUUCUGGGGUGAUGGUGUGAUGCGUAUCAUGGUUGCAGCUAGAUAUUACAGAUCUGAGUAGACUAUUUUUUCCAAUUGCCUAGUGCUUUCCCCCAAUGUUAUUUAUCAUGUGGCAUAUGUUUGUCAGAGUUCAUUCAUCAAGACACGUGCUUUAAUUAUUAUUAUCAUCAUCAAUGGCCAUCAAGGAAUUCUGUUUAAUAGGAAUCAAUCUUUUCUAUUAAAUCUACAGUGCAGACCUCUAUGUUGUAGAUGACUGGUACUUUCUGAUGCUCACAGAUUCAUUGAGAUACACAUCCGCAUUGGCAAUUGCACUUGCAGUGGUUUUUCUCAUUAUUACUGCUGGAAUUACAGUGUUCAAAUUGAUUAAUGGAAGUGUUGCCAUGCCUAGGUUGCUCCCUAAUGUUACUGAUAACACAUCAUUCUGGAAUCUCUUCACCGUUGUCCCUGUUAUUGUGACAGCAUUUAUCUGUCAUUUCAAUGUUCAUACAAUUGACAAUGAGCUGGAAGACUCUUCUAUGAUACAGCCAGUUGUGCGGACUUCACUUGCUUUAUGCUCUACUGUCUAUAUAAUGACAAGCUUCUUUGGGUUCCUUCUAUUUGGCAACUCAACUCUAGAUGAUGUUUUGGCCAACUUCGACACCAACCUUGGUGUCCCUUACAGCUAUGGGCUUAACGAUGUUGUUCGCAUCAGCUAUGCUCUCCACCUCAUGCUUGUUUUCCCUGUGGUCUUUUAUCCAUUGCGCCAAAAUAUCGAUGGUCUUCUUUUUCCUUCAGCCAGGCCUUUGGUUUCAGAUAACUGUAGGUUCACACUGCUCAGCAUAGCACUCAUUUCUUUCAUCUUCUUGGGUGCAAAUUUUGUACCCAGCAUUUGGGUUGCUUUCCAGUUCACUGGAGCAACUUCUGCUGUGUGCAUUGGAUUUAUCUUCCCAGCUGCCAUUGCCCUGAGGGAUCCCCAUUUGGUAGCAUCAAAGAUGGAUAAGAUAGUGUCUGUCUUCAUGAUUCUUCUUGCUCUAUUUUCGAGCUCAGUGGCUAUUUACAGUGAUGCUUAUGCCCUCUUCAGAAAGAAUCCCUCUCCACGCGAGUGAUUUUGUUUGUUUACUAAGAUUCUGAUGUGCAAAGCAAAUAAGUGAUGCUCAGCAGAGAAAAUAAGUUCCCCAAUAAAGGCUGGCUUAACAAGCUGAUGUGCAAAUAUAUAAUUUUAUGUAAUGCCUGUGUCCAUAAGCAUUGCUGUAA
RNAcentral lists this unclassified non-coding RNA (3271 nucleotides) under Hevea brasiliensis (rubber tree). The record is from RNAcentral. Lineage: Eukaryota; Viridiplantae; Streptophyta; Magnoliopsida; Malpighiales; Euphorbiaceae.